Long non-coding RNA from Panicum virgatum (switchgrass), 237 nucleotides. RefSeq lists it as uncharacterized. NCBI's taxonomy places the organism in Eukaryota, Viridiplantae, Streptophyta, Magnoliopsida, Poales, Poaceae. The transcript is spliced from 3 exons. The record is from RefSeq and is a predicted model, not a curated record.
CCUCCUUCAUGUGCUCCUUCCGUGCGUUCUUCCCUUCGCCGUCGGUGUUGCCUGUGGGCUCUGAAGCGAGUCCGUGCUGCUGGUGAACCUGCCUCUCUACGUCCGGCCCCUGUGCAAGUCCGUGUUGCUGGUGAACCUGCUUCGGCCGUCGCUUGCUGCCUGGCUCUGCUAUCUGCGACGGGUGCCGUGGCUGUGGAGCGCAUUGUUGUGGGUGACCUCUGACUGCAGUUCAUCAGG